RNAcentral lists this ribosomal RNA (573 nucleotides) under Lophonectes gallus (crested flounder). RNAcentral's name for it is "partial 16S ribosomal RNA". It matches the Rfam family "Bacterial large subunit ribosomal RNA", at positions 1816 to 2565 of the family's 2925-position model. Lineage: Eukaryota; Metazoa; Chordata; Actinopteri; Pleuronectiformes; Bothidae. The record is from RNAcentral.
CGCCUCUUGCCAACACAUUUAGAAUAAGAGGUCCAACCUGCCCAGUGACAUUGUUUAACGGCCGCGGUAUUUUGACCGUGCUAAGGUAGCGCAAUCACUUGUCUCUUAAAUGGGGACCUGUAUGAAAGGUAUAACGAGGGCUUAGCUGUCUCCUUUUUCCAGUCAAUGAAAUUGAUCUCCCCGUGCAGAAGCGGGGAUUUUAACAUAAGACGAGAAGACCCUGUGGAGCUUAAGACACCAGAGCAGCCCACGUCAAAGACCUCCACCCCCGGCCAGAACUGAAUGGGGCCUGCUCCUAUGUCUUCGGUUGGGGUGACCAUGGGGAAAGCAAAACCCCCAUGUGGACAGGGAGCACUAGAGGAAACUUCACCACACACCCCACAACUUCACUCCUCCAAACCAGAGCCCCGGCUCUAGUUAACGAAAUGUUCGACUUAGAAUGAUCCGGGAAAACCGAUCAACGAACCAAGUUACCCCAGGGAUAACAGCGCUAUCCCCUUCCAGAGCCCAUAUCGCCAAGGGGGUUUACGACCUCGAUGUUGGAUCAGGACAUCCUAAUGGUGCAGCCGCUAU